Hibiscus syriacus is the source of this 107-nucleotide small nucleolar RNA. The record is from RefSeq and is a predicted model, not a curated record. Lineage: Eukaryota; Viridiplantae; Streptophyta; Magnoliopsida; Malvales; Malvaceae.
AAUCCAUGCAUAGGACACGUCCGUAGUAAUUUUUUAAAUCUUUCAUAUGCUUCAUACAAGCUUUCAACUUCAUACUGCUUAAAUGAAGUUACAUCAUUUCGAAGAUU